AACAUGGCAGUUGGAUCUGAUGGCGUCCAGGUAGGUGAGCUGGUGAGGAAAAGGUGCGAGUCUUAAACGGGGAUUGGUGUGGGUAGCUUGUCAGUUCUGCAGCCUCUCAGCAGGUGCCUUUCUGCUUGGAUUUUUGCAGGUGCCGCAAUCAGCCUUCAGAGGGGAGACGACGCAUGGCUACGAGGGGUCUCAGAAGAUGGUGUGCGGCUGCCCUUGGGACUGGAUGUGCGUUUGAGGGGCCACAAGGGAGGACAACAGUGUGAGUUGGGCACGGCCACAGAGCAAGUGAGCAGAGCAGCUGGGCGCAUCUGAGGUAGACGGAUGCAGCGGCCUAGGUCUUUGUAGAGCGAUGGGAUGCUGACUGACAGGGCUGUUGUGUGGGGCUUGUGAUUGUUUUUGUUUUUCAGAUGACGAAGAGGCAGCUGGUGACUGGAGGAGUGACGUGUGCUUGUCCUUCAGAAGGAAGGGAAGAGGGAGACUCUCGGCCCCUUGAAAGCUAAGUUGAGGCAACGGUGCUGGGGAAGGGGUUGGGGGAGCGAGGGGGGCACGGUUGGCUGUGGCAGGAAGGGGUUUGAAAGAGAGCGUAGGGGAGAGGGUUGUCUAGGAAGCGGUCCCCUUUGAGCAGGGGAAUGGAGCGGGUUCCUCUGAAAUAUGACAGGAACGUGUGCCCUGGGCAGGGCGGUUCCAGGCUGUGCAUGUUGUUGUGUAGUGCGUCUGUGUGUUUGGUGUUGGGUGCGUUUGACCUUCCUCGGGUCUCGGUUGUUCGUUCUUCCGUAGGAUCGAGGCAGGUGCCUCGGCAGCGUUAGUAGGGCCCGGCGAGGCCCUAGU
Phalacrocorax carbo (great cormorant) is the source of this 828-nucleotide non-coding RNA. The record is from RefSeq and is a predicted model, not a curated record. Lineage: Eukaryota; Metazoa; Chordata; Aves; Suliformes; Phalacrocoracidae.